UCUGGCUCAGGAUGAACGCUAGCGGCAGGCCUAAUACAUGCAAGUCGAGCGGCAAGUCGAGGAGUAAUCUAAGACCUAGAGCGGCGGACGGGUGCGUAACGCGUAUGCAACCUACCUCAUACAGGGGGAUAGCCCGGAGAAAUCUGGAUUAAUACCCCAUGGUACUGUGACAAGGCAUUUUGUUAUAGUUAAAGAUUCAUCGGUAUGAGAUGGGCAUGCGUCUGAUUAGCUAGUUGGCGGUGUAACGGACCACCAAGGCGACGAUCAGUAGGGGUUCUGAGAGGAAGGUCCCCCACACUGGCACUGAGAUACGGGCCAGACUCCUACGGGAGGCAGCAGUAGGGAAUAUUGGGCAAUGGACGAGAGUCUGACCCAGCCAUGCCGCGUGCAGGAAGACGGCGUUCUGCGUUGUAAACUGCUUUUAUCUGGGAAGAAAAGGCCCAUGCGUGGGACAUUGCCGGUACCAGAUGAAUAAGCACCGGCUAACUCCGUGCCAGCAGCCGCGGUAAUACGGAGGGUGCAAGCGUUGUCCGGAUUUAUUGGGUUUAAAGGGUGCGUAGGCGGCUGAUUAAGUCAGUGGUGAAAGACAUCGGCUCAACCGAUGCAGUGCCAUUGAUACUGGUGAGCUUGAGUGUUGGAGGGGUACAUGGAAUUGAUGGUGUAGCGGUGAAAUGCAUAGAUACCAUCAGGAACACCGAUAGCGAAGGCAUUGUACUUGCCAACAACUGACGCUGAGGCACGAAAGCAUGGGGAGCGAACAGGAUUAGAUACCCUGGUAGUCCAUGCCGUAAACGAUGAUUACUCGCUGUUAUGCUGUAGAGUGUAGCGGCCAAGCGAAAGCGUUAAGUAAUCCACCUGGGGAGUACGCCGGCAA
This 874-nucleotide ribosomal RNA is filed under the name uncultured bacterium. RNAcentral's name for it is "bacterial SSU rRNA". It matches the Rfam family "Bacterial small subunit ribosomal RNA", at positions 18 to 891 of the family's 1533-position model. The record is from RNAcentral.